CGCUGGCGGCGUGCUUAACACAUGCAAGUCGAACGRAGAUAUUAAGAAUGAGAGCUUCGGCAGGAAUUUUUAUUAUCUUAGUGGCGGACGGGUGAGUAACGUGUGGGCAACCUGCCCUGCACUGGGGAAUAAUCAUUGGAAACGAUGACUAAUACCGCAUACGGUUCYUGGGAGGCAUCUUCCGGGAAARAAAGGAUUUAUUCGGUGCAGGAUGGGCCCGCAUCUGAUUAGCUAGUUGGUGAGAUAACAGCCCACCAAGGCGACGAUCAGUAGCCGACCUGAGAGGGUGACCGGCCACAUUGGGACUGAGACACGGCCCAAACUCCUACGGGAGGCAGCAGUGGGGAAUAUUGCACAAUGGGCGAAAGCCUGAUGCAGCAACGCCGCGUGAAGGAAGAAGGGUUUCGGCUCGUAAACUUCUAUCAACAGGGACGAAAGAAAUGACGGUACCUGAAUAAGAAGCCCCGGCUAACUACGUGCCAGCAGCCGCGGUAAUACGUAGGGGGCAAGCGUUAUCCGGAAUUACUGGGUGUAAAGGGUGAGUAGGCGGCAUGGUAAGCCAGAUGUGAAAGCCUUGGGCUUAACCCGAGGAUUGCAUUUGGAACUAUCAAGCUAGAGUACAGGAGAGGAAAGCGGAAUUCCUAGUGUAGCGGUGAAAUGCGUAGAUAUUAGGAAGAACACCAGUGGCGAAGGCGGCUUUCUGGACUGAAACUGACGCUGAGGCACGAAAGCGUGGGGAGCGAACAGGAUUAGAUACCCUGGUAGUCCACGCUGUAAACGAUGAGUGCUAGGUGUCGGGGAGGAAUCCCCGGUGCCGCAGCUAACGCAAUAAGCACUCCACCUGGGGAGUACGACCGCAAGGUUGAAACUCAAAGGAAUUGACG
Molecule: ribosomal RNA, 884 nt
Filed under: Lachnospiraceae bacterium DW42
Lineage: Bacteria; Bacillati; Bacillota; Clostridia; Lachnospirales; Lachnospiraceae
Description: bacterial SSU rRNA
Rfam family: Bacterial small subunit ribosomal RNA
Source: RNAcentral